Molecule: ribosomal RNA, 395 nt
Filed under: uncultured bacterium
Lineage: Bacteria
Description: partial 16S ribosomal RNA
Rfam family: Bacterial small subunit ribosomal RNA
Source: RNAcentral
AUACGUAGAGUGCAAGCGUUAAUCGGAAUUACUGAGCGUAAAGCGUGCGCAGGCGGUUUUGUAAGACAGAGGUGAAAUCCCCGAGCUCAACCUGUGAACUGCCUUUGUGACUAGAACACUAGAGUACAGCAGAGGGGGAUGGAAAUCCGCAUGGAGCAGUCAAACGCGUAGAUAUGCGGAGGAACACCGAUGGAGAAGGCGAUCUCUUGGGCCUGUACUGACGCUCCUUUUCUGAAGCGUGGGGUGCAUACAGUAUCGGUUACCCUGGUAGUUGGCGUGCUAAACGAUUGCAACUGGUUGUUGGUUUUUCAUUGACUCAGUAUAGUAGCUAACGCUUGAGGUUGACCGCCUUGGGAGUACGGCCGCAAGGUUGAAACUCUAUGGUAUUGACGGUG